GUGAGGAAUUUUCCGCAAUGGGCGAAAGCCUGACGGAGCAAUGCCGCGUGAAGGAUGAAGGCCUAUGGGUUGUAAACUUCUUUUCUCAGAAAAGAAUUAUGACGGUAUCUGAGGAAUAAGCAUCGGCUAACUCUGUGCCAGCAGCCGCGGUAAGACAGAGGAUGCAAGCGUUAUCCGGAAUGAUUGGGCGUAAAGCGGCUGUAGGUUGUUUAAAAAGUAUUCUGUCAAAGAUUAGGGCUUAACCCUAGAUAGGCAGAAUAAACUUUUAAGCUAGAGUUUGGUAGAGGCAGAGGGAAUUCCCGGUGGAGCGGUGAAAUGCGUAGAUAUCGGGAGGAACACCAAAGGCGAAGGCACUCUGCUGGGCCAAUACUAACACUGAGAGACGAAAGCGAGGGGAGCAAAUGGGAUUAGAAACCCGGGUAGUCC
RNAcentral lists this ribosomal RNA (426 nucleotides) under uncultured bacterium. Its description in RNAcentral is "partial 16S ribosomal RNA". It matches the Rfam family "Bacterial small subunit ribosomal RNA", at positions 354 to 796 of the family's 1533-position model. The record is from RNAcentral.